AGCUUUGCGCAGCGGCAGUAUCAUAGCCAAUGAGGUUUAUCCGAGGUGCAAUUAUUGCUAAUUAAAAAAAAAAAAAGAAAGAAAC
Molecule: small nuclear RNA, 85 nt
Organism: Suricata suricatta (meerkat)
Lineage: Eukaryota; Metazoa; Chordata; Mammalia; Carnivora; Herpestidae
Gene: U4
Rfam family: U4 spliceosomal RNA
About the family: U4 small nuclear RNA (U4 snRNA) is a component of the major U2-dependent spliceosome.
Source: Ensembl